UUCCGGUUGAUCCCGCCGGAGGUCACUGCUAUUGGGAUUCGACUAAGCCAUGCGAGUCGAGAGGGUUCGGCCCUCGGCUGACGGCUCAGUAACACGUGGACAAUCUGCCCUUAGGUGGAGGAUAACCUCGGGAAACUGAGAAUAAUACUCCAUAGGUCUAGGAUGCUGGAAUGCAUCUAGACUGAAAACUCCGGUGCCUAAGGAUGAGUCUGCGGACUAUCAGGUUGUAGUCAGGGUAAAGACCUGACUAGCCUACGACGGAUAUGGGUUGUGAGAGCAAUAACCCAGAGAUGAUAUCUGAGACACGAUAUCAGGCCCUACGGGGCGCAGCAGGCGCGAAAACUUCACACUGUGCGAAAGCACGAUGAGGGAAUCCCAAGUGCCAGCUCGUAAGAGUUGGCUGUUUUUCUGUCUAAAACACAGAGAGAGUAAGAGCUGGGUAAGACGGGUGCCAGCCGCCGCGGUAAUACCUGCAGCUCGAGUGGUGACCGUUAUUAUUGGGCCUAAAACGUCCGUAGCCGGUUUAGUAAAUGCCUGGGUAAAUCGUGUAGCUUAACUAUACGAAUUCCGGGUAGACUGCUAAACUUGAGACCGGGAGAGGCUAGAGGUACUCCUGGGGUAGAGGUGAAAUUCUGUAAUCCUGGGGGGACCACCAGUGGCGAAGGCGUCUAGCUAGAACGGAUCUGACGGUGAGGGACGAAGCCCUGGGGCGCAAACCGGAUUAGAUACCCGGGUAGUCCAGGGUGUAAACGCUGCUUGCUUGAUGUUAGUCGGGCUCCGAGCCCGAUUAGUGUCGGAGAGAAGUUGUUAAGCAAGCUGCCUGGGAAGUACGGUCGCAAGACUGAAACUUAAAGGAAUUGGCGGGGGAGCACAGCAACGGGUGGAGCGUGCGGUUUAAUUGGAUUCAACGCCGGGAAUCACUAGUGCGGCCGCCUGCAGGUCGACCAUAU
RNAcentral lists this ribosomal RNA (950 nucleotides) under uncultured archaeon. RNAcentral describes it as "bacterial SSU rRNA". It matches the Rfam family "Archaeal small subunit ribosomal RNA", at positions 1 to 959 of the family's 1478-position model. The record is from RNAcentral.